GGCAUAUUUACUUCCUAAAAAUAUUUCAGAUUUUAUUUUCUAAAGUUUGUGCUCAUUUUAAAUUGCAAAUCAGCAGAUGGACGACUCAUGUAGUGAACAUCGUUAUAGAAAGAAAAUGGAAGGGAAGCUAGGAAUAGUACAUUUUCAGAAACAAUGUAAACAAUGGUUCGACAUCUUCAAAUGUAAAAACAUCUUAAAAUACUAGUUUCGUUUUAAAAAAUUGUAAAAGAUAAUGGUGAAGAAAUAUUAGAUCUAUAUUAUUUUAUGUUUAUUAGUUGAAGUGAAAAUGUAAAAAGGAAAAUAUGGGAAUUAAACUGACCCUUAGAGCUUGUUUGGUUAUUGAAAAUGUUCUGUUUUUAUUUUUAAUUAAAAAGUAUUAUGGUUUUACCUGGGACUUUUAAAAUUCUGUAUUGGAAACCAUCAAAAUAUAUUCAUUGUUUCCUAUAUUAAAUUUUGAAAACAGGAAAAAAGUGACGUUUUUUUUGCAAUGAAAAGCAAAAACAGAGAAUAAUUUUGCAGGCCAAACAGAUCCUAAAGUUCAUGGAACUUGGUGUACAUCUCUAUUAGCUUAUUUUGAAAAAAAUUCGCAGCUUUGAGCUUUCUAAAAGAGCUUUUGAAAUUGAAAUUAAAAAAAAAAUAUUUUCUGCAUAUGUACUUUGAAUGAAU
RNAcentral lists this long non-coding RNA (666 nucleotides) under Medicago truncatula (barrel medic). RNAcentral describes it as "long non-coding RNA (MTRU_LNC000712)". The record is from RNAcentral. Lineage: Eukaryota; Viridiplantae; Streptophyta; Magnoliopsida; Fabales; Fabaceae.